CCGCGAUGUCGGGCGGCCUCGGCCGCGGGGCCCUCAACCUCGCCGGCGUCGAGUCGGUGCUGCGCCGCGCGUUCGAGACGGACGACGCGGUC
Molecule: transfer RNA, 92 nt
Filed under: Tsukamurella sp. PLM1
Lineage: Bacteria; Bacillati; Actinomycetota; Actinomycetes; Mycobacteriales; Tsukamurellaceae
Description: tRNA-Glu
Source: RNAcentral